UGAGUAACCUGCCCUUCACUCUGGGAUAACUCCGGGAAACCGGGGCUAAUACUGGAUAUGACUCGAACAGGCAUCUGUUUCGGGUGGAAAGAUUUUAUUGGUGGAGGAUGGACUCGCGGCCUAUCAGCUUGUUGGUGAGGUAAUGGCUCACCAAGGCGACGACGGGUAGCCGGCCUGAGGAGGGCGAUCGGCCACACUGGGACUGAGACACGGCCCAGACUCCUACGGGAGCA
This 233-nucleotide ribosomal RNA is filed under the name uncultured bacterium. RNAcentral describes it as "partial 16S ribosomal RNA". It matches the Rfam family "Bacterial small subunit ribosomal RNA", at positions 118 to 347 of the family's 1533-position model. The record is from RNAcentral.